GAGAAAAACUAAGAAAAAGAUUUUGCAAAUCACUGGCAAAUGCCUAUACAAGGACUGAAACCAGUGUAAUAUAUUACAAACCCCAAUAAAAAAAAAAAAAGCUACAGGACUUAAAUCAGAGAUGAGGCAACAAGCCCCAAAAGCUAACAAGCAACAGUUUCCAGAUAGAAGGAAGGACAACAUAAUACGUCUUGCCAUGUACUAGAACAGAGCAAAAGGUGCUGGAAGGUAUAUGGAGUAAUUGUUCUGCCAAGGCACCAUGCUACCAUACCAUCCCGAGUCCAGGACCAUGAAGCAAAAAUGAUGUCCGCACAAGUGUUGAAAUUUAACGCAUUUCCUAGAAGCUUCCAGAAAGUAUAAGAAAAAAAAAAUAUCUCAACAUAUCAAUAUGAGCAACAAGAAUGCUCCACUAUGAGAACCAGAUGAUCCUUUUUCCUAGUUUUCAUUUAUUUAUUUUUUGGGUCUGCAUCAUAUUGUCUUGUUUCCUCAACACAUGGAUCCAUGUGAUAACAAAGUUAAAUUAGUGUAAAGAAAACUGAAGUGAUAGAGUUUGCUGAUUCCAGGCAUAUGCGCACACACACACACACAUAUGGAAAAGUUUUAAGCGAUGGAAAAGUUUUAAGAGAGAUAUUGUGCUCUAUAUGGAAAAGAAUGUUUGUAGAGUGAAAGACAAAGAAACCAGUGGACAAUGGUAAAUGAUAAUAGUAAGCGUUUGCUGACAAGAUGCUAAUUGGUUAUGGAAACCUUGCUUGGGAAGAGUUAUAAGAACUAUUGGCUUACAAGCAUUAAAUUGUAUGUUUUAGUACCUAUAGGUACAUUAAAACAUUUGGCCUUGUUUUCAAACAAAAAGACAAUCACUUAGUGCUCAUAACCAGCUCGAAAAUAAGCAAGCGUGUCCUUACUUUUAAGGUUUUCAUAAGCAAAAGCUCACGAGCCCUAACACCCGAUACUGAGAGGACCAAUAGACCAAAAGUGCUUCUUAAUACAAAAUUUUGAAGCAAAAAGACUUGGAAAGUUUAAAUGUAAAUACAAUCCGGAAGUAAAUAUCUUGGUAAGCACCACUCAAUUGUAUAAUGCAUGCAAAUUAUAUAAUUCACUAAUUAAAAUCAACAAGGUAUAUGAUUUCAAAUAUCAACCUCUGAUGGGGAAUUUCAUCAAACAAAAGUACUGCUGAUCUGGUAAUCAAUGGACAAUGGACAUAUCUGUUAUUAUAAUUUAAGCACCCACAUUCUCCUUCAGAGUACAAUUAAUUAUGUUUUAAUUUGCACCAAUUCGAUCAACUGAACUCAUAUCUCACUCAAACUUACCAAGAAUUAAAAUUCGUACCUUUUUUUUCCAAUUAAAAUCAAUGUAGAAUGUGAACUACAACAAAUUGAAGGUUACAAGAGAAAACAUACAAUAGUAAAUCACUUAGUACGCUUGCUGAUCGAUCCAAUCAAAACUCUGAAAUAGAAAUCUCGUAGAAUAUAUACACAUUGGAUUCGAUAAUAAAGACAGUUAAAACUUACACGACAGCGCCAAUAACUAGGGGGAAAGAGAGAAAUCUUCUUCGACCAAACAUAUUCUGAGGUAUUCUGUGCAGAGAGAAACGCGUCUGCUUUGAGUGCUCGAUCCGUAUGAGGUUCUCGAUUAUUAGCUCUUUUCAACUUCCGAAUUGAUCCUGUAUUUGCAGAAUUAUUCACUGAUUUUAUGUUCUUCGGUUUGCCAUCCGCCGUUA
Molecule: long non-coding RNA, 1717 nt
Filed under: Olea europaea (common olive)
Lineage: Eukaryota; Viridiplantae; Streptophyta; Magnoliopsida; Lamiales; Oleaceae
Description: long non-coding RNA (OEUR_LNC003414)
Source: RNAcentral